GGCUGGCCCGAGUGCAGUGGUGUUUACAACUAAUGGAUCACAACCAGUUACAGAUUUCUUAGCUCCUUCUCCACUCCCACUGCCUCACUUGACUAGCCUUGA
This is a Y RNA of Callithrix jacchus (white-tufted-ear marmoset), 102 nucleotides long. It matches the Rfam family "Y RNA". From Rfam's summary of the family: Y RNAs are components of the Ro ribonucleoprotein particle (Ro RNP), in association with Ro60 and La proteins. The Y RNAs and Ro60 and La proteins are well conserved, but the function of the Ro RNP is not known. The record is from Ensembl. Lineage: Eukaryota; Metazoa; Chordata; Mammalia; Primates; Cebidae.